RNAcentral lists this ribosomal RNA (497 nucleotides) under uncultured bacterium. Its description in RNAcentral is "partial 16S ribosomal RNA". It matches the Rfam family "Bacterial small subunit ribosomal RNA", at positions 28 to 507 of the family's 1533-position model. The record is from RNAcentral.
GACGAACGCUGGCGGCGUGCCUAAUACAUGCAAGUUGAGCGCUGAAGGUUGGUACUUGUACCAACUGGAUGAGCAGCGAACGGGUGAGUAACGCGUGGGGAAUCUGCCUUUGAGCGGGGGACAACAUUUGGAAACGAAUGCUAAUACCGCAUAAAAACUUUAAACACAAGUUUUAAGUUUGAAAGAUGCAAUUGCAUCACUCAAAGAUGAUCCCGCGUUGUAUUAGCUAGUUGGUGAGGUAAAGGCUCACCAAGGCGAUGAUACAUAGCCGACCUGAGAGGGUGAUCGGCCAAAUUGGGACUGAGACACGGCCCAAACUCCUACGGGAGGCAGCAGUAGGGAAUCUUGGGCAAUGGACGAAAGUCUGACCGAGCAACGCCGCGUGAGUGAAGAAGGUUUUCGGAUCGUAAAACUCUGUUGGUAGAGAAGAACGUUGGUGAGAGUGGAAAGCUCAUCAAGUGACGGUAACUACCCAGAAAGGGACGGCUAACUACGUG